Non-coding RNA from Podarcis lilfordi (Lilford's wall lizard), 71 nucleotides. The record is from the annotation of a GenBank genome assembly. NCBI's taxonomy places the organism in Eukaryota, Metazoa, Chordata, Lepidosauria, Squamata, Lacertidae.
GGCCAUAGUUCAGUGGCAGAGCCCCUGCUUGGCAUGCAGAAGGCCCUGGGCUCAAUCCCCUGGCAGCAUCU